Passer domesticus (house sparrow) is the source of this 1772-nucleotide long non-coding RNA. RefSeq lists it as uncharacterized. NCBI's taxonomy places the organism in Eukaryota, Metazoa, Chordata, Aves, Passeriformes, Passeridae. The record is from RefSeq and is a predicted model, not a curated record. The transcript is spliced from 2 exons.
GCCGCCAUGACGGGCCCGCCAUGAGGGCUCGGCCCGGCCCUGCCAGGGCCCUGCCCUUCCAGAACAAACCUCCAUAGCUCUACAGGCUGCGACUCUAGCCUCGGUUGCUACCGCAGACAAGCGUUCAGUAGUAGUGAAAAGUCUGAAGUAGGAAAGGGCAGUGUGACCAGAUGACUGAGAUUUAAAAUCCACAAGCCUGUGGCGACACGCAGCACGAGCCCGGCGCAAUCUGCUUGUAGCUACAGGGAUAAAGCGAGAGGAAGAAGUCAAAAUUAGCCUUAGGAAGUAAAAGCAGGGAGAGCGAAGCGUGCGCCGAUUUCUGUGCCCAAGCAGGAAACACUUUGCAGAGUUACAGAGUGAAACAGCCCUGUCCAACUGCAGUUCCAGUGGAGAAACACAAACCCCCUCCAGCUCACUGGUGUGGGCUGAGUGAAGAAUGCCAGUUCUCGCUUUUAUUAGCACAGGGACACACACAAAGAACAAUUAAAGAUGAGGGCAAACAAAACACACAUGACCUCUCCAGACACUACUGUCAAAAGUUUUAAGUAACAGCUUUGAUUUAGAGACUGCCUCACUGAUGUGACCAGCUCCAUGGUUACCUUGUUACAAGGGGAAAGUUUACCAAUCUCAUUCAAAAAACAAUCAAAUAUUCACAACCAGAGUCAGAUGAAGGAAGGAAUUUUGUUUUAAUUGUUCUUUUCACUUGUCCUCCUUUUUGCAUUGUUAUUUAUACUUUUAGAAUUUGGCAGGAAGCUUCAUCUUCUUUUCAGUCCACCUAAAAUGAUACAAUUAUCAGAAAGUCAGACUCCACAUUCCAAAAAUGUACUGAGUUGGCUUAGCUUUUAGUGCCACAGAUGGGCAUAUGUACAAACAGUCAAAAUGAUCCUCUGAAAUACAUUUUGCUAAAGAUUUCAAAUCUUCAUGUCCAAGCAAUACACAGGAAAUGUGCUUGGAAGGGUGCACAGCCAAGAGCUGCUCAAGGGAAAGAUUAGCAAUGAGCAGCAUUCCCUUAGGAACUGUAGUUUGUGGUUUGUUCCUUCAUUUUCUGGCUUCUCAAGGUGACAGUACCACCCUAAUGAGGACUCCAGUGGUGCAAUUACAGUCAAAUAUCACUCAUUUAAGAUAUUAAGAAUACCUGUUGCUGAAAAAAAAACAAAAAAAGGAUGUGAUUUUUAACAUAUAUUCUUGCCAAUUUACUUGAGUUUUGGAGGUCUCCAUGUACAACUGUGUAAAAGUUUGUUUCACACCAAUUAUUUUCCAUUAAGGGAUUUUCAGGUGUAGUUACAGGCAAAACCUACACUGUGAAAACUCAGGUGAUGUACACAUUCUGUCUGUUGUGAGCAGGUCAAAUGGUAUUUUCCACUUUAAAUUUUACAGGAUCUCUAUUCUUUAUGUACAGCUGGAAAAUCCAUGGCAAUAUCCAAGAUCUGUGUGAGCUGAACCUGCCUGCAAACUGCAGCUUGUCAAACACCAUGUCCUUGGUCAUCUCUGCCUGCAAGACAGAACUUGUGCCUCAUGAAAACAAAUGCAAAAUGCAGCAGCAAUUUGGGGAGAAUGUUCAUGUUAAAGGACUUAGCAGAACUAUACAGUUUGGGUAUUUCUGGGUCAUAACACCGAAAUCUAAAAAAAAAUAGAAUUUUUUUUUUUGCAAAUGUAAUUUUUACUUUUUUUUUUUUUUAACAAAUGUAAAACAUUUUACAAAUGUUGGGGAAGGAGUUUGUGAUUUACUGCAACAUUUCUGCCUAAAUCUGAUGGUCAGUUUGGAGAUGAAG